UCAAAUGAACGGAACAGGUCUUCGGAUGCUGACGAGUGCAACGGGUGAGUAAUACAUCGGAACGUGCCCGAUCGUGGGGGAUAACGGAGCGAAAGCUUUGCUAAUACCGCAUACGAUCUACGGAUGAAAGCAGGGGACCGCAAGGCCUUGCGCGGACGGAGCGGCCGAUGGCAGAUUAGGUAGUUGGUGGGAUAAAAGCUUACCAAGCCGACGAUCUGUAGCUGGUCUGAGAGGACGACCAGCCACACUGGGACUGAGACACGGCCCAGACUCCUACGGGAGGCAGCAGUGGGGAAUUUUGGACAAUGGGCGAAAGCCUGAUCCAGCCAUGCCGCGUGCAGGACUGAAGGCCUUCGGGUUGUAAACUGCUUUUGUACGGAACGAAAAGACUCCUUCUAAUAAAGGGGGUCCCAUGACGGUACCGUAUGAAUAAAGGACCGGCUAACUCCGUGCCAGCAGCCGCGGUUAAUACGGAGGGUCCAAGCGUUAUCCGGAAUCAUUGGGUUUAAAGGGUCCGUAGGCGGUUAUAUAAGACAGAUGUGAAAUCCCCGGGCCUUAACCUGGGAAUUGCGUUUGUGACUGCAAGGCUGGAGUGCGGCAGAGGGGGAUGGAAUUCACCCGUGUAGCAGUGAAAGCGUAGAUAUGCGGAGGAAACACCGAUGGCGAAGGCAAUCCCCGGGCCUGCACUGAACGUCUCAUGCCAAAAGACGUGGGGACGCAAACGUGAUUUAGUACCCUGGUUGGUCCGCCCCCAAACAGCGAUCAUCCAUUGGUUGUUGGUCUCAUUCUGAUCCUAACUAACUCGAAUGACUGUCCCCUGGGGAGUACGCCGCAGUGUUAAUAGAAUCCCGAAGGAAUCCUCUCAAAUCAUCCCGUUAG
This 879-nucleotide ribosomal RNA is filed under the name uncultured bacterium. RNAcentral's name for it is "bacterial SSU rRNA". It matches the Rfam family "Bacterial small subunit ribosomal RNA". The record is from RNAcentral.